GUCUACAGCCAUGCCACCCUCAACGUGCCCGAUCUCGUCUGAUCGCGGAAGCUAAGCGGGGUUGGGCCUGGUUAGUACUUGGACGGGAGACCGCCUGGGAAUAGCGGGUGCUGUAGGCU
This 119-nucleotide ribosomal RNA is filed under the name Aotus nancymaae (Ma's night monkey). Lineage: Eukaryota; Metazoa; Chordata; Mammalia; Primates; Aotidae. The record is from RNAcentral.